This 253-nucleotide ribosomal RNA is filed under the name uncultured bacterium. RNAcentral's name for it is "partial 16S ribosomal RNA". It matches the Rfam family "Bacterial small subunit ribosomal RNA", at positions 524 to 776 of the family's 1533-position model. The record is from RNAcentral.
UACGUAGGGAGCGAGCGUUGUCCGGAUUUACUGGGUGUAAAGGGUGCGUAGGCGGCUCUGUAAGUCAGAAGUGAAAUCCAUGGGCUCAAUCCAUGAACUGCUUUUGAAACUGUGGAGCUUGAGUGAAGUAGAGGUAGGCGGAAUUCCCGGUGUAGCGGUGAAAUGCGUAGAGAUCGGGAGGAACACCAGUGGCGAAGGCGGCCUACUGGGCUCUAACUGACGCUGAGGCACGAAAGCGUGGGUAGCAAACAGG